GACAAAUUUGCUCUGCGUAAAAUGUGAUGGUGUAUCGUUGUUUUCAUAGAGGAGUUUUCUUCUGAUUUUGCAAGUGCUUGGAUGAGGGAUUCAUUGCAGAGCAAUGAAUGUGUAGCAUCCCACUGAGAUUUUUGAGGACCGAAUGGGUGCGAUGCAUUUUAUUACAGACUUGUGUCCUUGGCAGCUAGAAGCACCCUGUGCUUGUUUGUAAAUAUUGGCUUUGAGGUUUUCAAGAAUUCUCAUAAAUGCCAAUAUUUCAUUACUUAACUAUUACUUCAGCAACCGAGUGUGCGCAAACAAAGUCAGGACACUUGCUCACUAUUAAACUGUUUAGUUUUUUUUUUUUUAAUCUUGCUGUGCACUUAAAUAUUCAGGGAUUUCUGUGUGCUUCUGUCAUAAUGUGUGUUGGCCCAGUGUUUUACUAGGAUCUGAGCUAUUCACAUAUUAACUGAAUGGAACCUCCCAUAUAGGGGUUCUUACAUCUGAGCAGCCUCUGCUACUGAGGGAGAAGUGUGCGUAUUCACAGGUCUGUGAAUUUGACUCUACGUAUCCUCUGUUGUGACAGUAAUGAUUUGUCUAGUGCCUGAGAAGCGAGGGAGGAAUAAAUUGCUACUGAUUCAUCUGUUGUAGAGUCCACUUGAAUAAAUGUUUACACAUAAAUCCUCCUGUAUGAAGUACUGGAAGUCAGAUUCCAAAUCCAGAAGUGAAUUGCAUUUCUACUGGUGUGAAAGCAAGAUCAGUCAGUGGAAAAACCUUUUCCUAGCCGGUGUCUGAGCAAAGUGAUGCUGGAUCUGAGCUCAAGUAAUAAAAGCACGUAUUUGAGCGAACGUAAAUGGUGUAACAUGAUUAUGUAGAAGACAAAAAGCUUGUCUGGGGUGUGCUGAGAACCAUAUUCCUCAUUCCAUAUUUCAGUGACUAAUUUUGAUGCAUGUCUCCAUUUCCAAUUGUGAUUGAAUAUAGUAACCACUUAAAUAGUAUUCUCACUGUCAAAGGGAGCUUGAAAAUGAAGAGUCAAAAAGGCCUACAGAUGGACUCCGCUCGACUUUCAUGUUGCAGUUGGGACCAUAAUAGUAGAGUCACUGCUCACAGGUAUUUAAAUACAAUCCUCCAAGGGGAAUGUAAAUUGUGUCUCUGUAACAUCUGUGAACCGUUUAUUUUCCUGAAAUCUCUUCCUCUUACGGCCUGCAUUUUUAGUAUACUUACUCUUAAGACUCCAGCAGAAAUUGAAAGUUUAUUUUAAAGAAUAUAUUUAAAACAUGCCAUAUGUAGUGGGCUCUUAAAAGAUAGUUCAAGAGCUAUGGAGAUCAAGUGAAGGGAGACCUCCUGUGGCUUUGCUCUUCUAAUCACUUAUAUUUAUUUUCAAAAGCAUAAAGCUGUUCUUUGAAAAAUGACAAAUGUGAGAAUUAGCAAAUUGUUCUGAAAGAAGACUCUUCUUAGGAACUUGGUACUUCUUAAUUCUACCUUGCUUACAAGUCUAGUGGUAUAUUCAUCAGCUAAGGUUUAUUGUGAAAUAUACUGAAUGUAUUUACUACUGUGGCUAGCAGCGUGAAAUUUACUGUUUGCAGUAAAAUGGGUUAUGGCAUUUAUAUUUUUGGGACCUGCUGAAGCAUGCUUGCUGGUUAUUAGUUGCUCCUUUUCUGACUUGACCUGUUCCUUUGUUGUUUGCCCUCUAAGCAGUUUGAGUUGAGUGACAGAUAAUGAGGUAUAGUUUUGCACUGAUGCAGAUUGGAGCUAUUGCACACUUCACUGUUAAAACUUACUCUAAUAAAAGAAGGUGUGGUAACUG
This 1786-nucleotide long non-coding RNA is filed under the name Gallus gallus (chicken). RNAcentral describes it as "lncRNA (ENSGALG00000053388.1)". The record is from RNAcentral. Lineage: Eukaryota; Metazoa; Chordata; Aves; Galliformes; Phasianidae.